Long non-coding RNA from Daphnia pulex (common water flea), 536 nucleotides. RefSeq lists it as uncharacterized. NCBI's taxonomy places the organism in Eukaryota, Metazoa, Arthropoda, Branchiopoda, Diplostraca, Daphniidae. The transcript has 2 exons. The record is from RefSeq and is a predicted model, not a curated record.
GUGAUACUUUUUUUCGGUUUCAUGGGAUACUUUAUCCGAGCUCAACAACCUUCGGAAGAGGUUCAUUCCAUUGCCAACAACAACCCCUACAGGGACAAACGGAGCAUUAUCUACCUGAAUAGCAGAGCCCCUAUUACAGUUGCGGUCGUUAUUGUGCUUCCCAUUUCGGUGAUGUUUCAGGCCCUGGGUGGCCGUAGUAGCAGAAAACAAGUCCUGGAUAACAAUGCUAGCCAAAAAGUGCGUAACUCUUAUACGGUGGCCUAGCUGCAGGAAAUUGAACCCAAAAAGUUCUAAUGCCAAUUCUUUUUAUUGCCAUUUAAACGGUGACGUGGACCUAACACGUUACUGUAGUCACCCUACAAAUAAACAGGAUCCGAGCUGCUGCCUGUUUGUCGAAUGUCGACAGUUGCACAAAUGAAAAAUUGUUUUGGGAUUUACACAAUUGUUAAUAUUUUAGAUGUUACGUACUUUGGAAACAAAAUGAAACUACGGCUUCAAUAAAAACAAUUCUCGCUGUUUUUCAUAGAAAAGCUUUC